AUUGAACGCUGGCGGCAUGCCUUACACAUGCAAGUCGAACGGCAGCACGGGAGCAAUCCUGGUGGCGAGUGGCGAACGGGUGAGUAAUAUAUCGGAACGUGCCCAGUCGUGGGGAUAACGUAGCGAAAGCUACGCUAAUACCGCAUACGAUCUAUGGAUGAAAGCGGGGGAUCGCAAGACCUCGCGCGAUUGGAGCGGCCGAUAUCAGAUUAGGUAGUUGGUGAGGUAAAGGCUCACCAAGCCGACGAUCUGUAGCUGGUCUGAGAGGACGACCAGCCACACUGGGACUGAGACACGGCCCAGACUCCUACGGGAGGCAGCAGUGGGGAAUUUUUGGACAAUGGGCGCAAGCCUGAUCCAGCAAUGCCGCGUGCAGGAUGAAG
This 383-nucleotide ribosomal RNA is filed under the name uncultured bacterium. Its description in RNAcentral is "bacterial SSU rRNA". It matches the Rfam family "Bacterial small subunit ribosomal RNA", at positions 30 to 413 of the family's 1533-position model. The record is from RNAcentral.